UUUUCGCAGGCACCAAGUCCAGCAUAGACAUGGGUGGCAGCGAUGGUCGGAAAAAGAAAAAGGA
RNAcentral lists this transfer RNA (64 nucleotides) under Diaphanoeca grandis. Lineage: Eukaryota; Choanoflagellata; Acanthoecida; Stephanoecidae. The record is from RNAcentral.